Molecule: long non-coding RNA, 338 nt
Filed under: Elaeis guineensis (African oil palm)
Lineage: Eukaryota; Viridiplantae; Streptophyta; Magnoliopsida; Arecales; Arecaceae
Description: long non-coding RNA (EGUI_LNC016579)
Source: RNAcentral
AUAGUGGGGUAGACCCGUGGCUAUCGUCAUAGCCCGCCACGUAGGGCCUGUUGCAAGUAGUGGAGCGGCGUCUGUUGCCGCUAAUUGUCAGCGAGUAGUGGGAUCGUGCAGCACCUGCCGCAGGGAAUGGAGCAGCAUCGUGGCCGUUGACACGGCCUGUCAGAGAAUAAUGGGUCCGCCGCAGGGGGUGAUGGAGCCGCACGGAAUCCGCUACAGGAAGUGGAACAGGAUCAUGGUUGUUAUUGUGAUCUGCCAAGGGGCGCGGAUCUAUUGAUCGAGGCUCGGCAGUGGUCGGAGUUUGGCCUUUGUAGGAGUCCGGGAGGGGUCCUCCUUUCGGU